GGAGGCACCAAAGUCGGAGAAAUGGAAGACAAAGAAGAAGCUGAAGCUGCAAAGGAAGAGGGAGAAGAAGAAGAGAAAAGCUGCCAACAAGAGAGAUCCGAGAAGACUUGGUGUUCAGGGGAAGAAGAAGAAGCAGAAAUUUGACACUGCUGAAGAAAGAAUCAAACAGAAGAUUGAAAAUGCAAAAGUCAAAGAAGCUAUGCUAAUUGAGAGACUAAAGAGAUAUGAGGUUACCAAAGUUCAAG
RNAcentral lists this unclassified non-coding RNA (245 nucleotides) under Hevea brasiliensis (rubber tree). Lineage: Eukaryota; Viridiplantae; Streptophyta; Magnoliopsida; Malpighiales; Euphorbiaceae. The record is from RNAcentral.